UCGACACUGCUAACACAAGAUCUAAAUUAAAUAUACAUCUAAAUUAACAAUUAUAAUAAACAUACAUAUGAUUGAACCUGAAUUAAAAUAUUUUUUCAAAUAUUUGGAAUUAUUUCAAUCACUUAUUAGUCCUCAACUAAUCAUAAACUUCAAAUUAAAGAAAAGCAGUCUAUUACAUAAGGCAUCCUCGUUCACACAAGAGGUUCGGCUAUACCCAAAGUUAUGUGAUGUAGUCUGCAUACUCUAAUGCAAGUAUUAGUGAUUGUUUUCACGCUCGAACCUGUGACAUAUAGGUCACAUGGAGACAACUUUAUCAUUGUUCCAUGGCUCCCCUUCAAAUUAGGGAAUUGAAAUUAAAGCCUCAAAUUGAACCAUGAACAAAGAAAUGAAGGUUUUACUCAUAAUUUACCACUAUACAAGCAUAAGCUACUGCAUUACAAACAAGGAAAGAGAAAUCAACAAGAAGGCUCUUUUCUCUUUCAACCAAAGAACUUAGGAUCAUAUCCAUUGCUAGAAGUGGCAAGAAUAUAAUAAGCAACAAUAUGACCAAUUGAGCCCCAAGCAAGAACAUCAACAAUGUUGAAACCAACAGGAUCAUUAGAUUUUAGCAAACUAACAUAUUCUUUGGCUCUGGAAUCACCAGCUUCAAAAUGGCUAAUUCCAUUUUGCUUAGGCAACCCUUGUUUGGCCACAUUCUCUCUUUGGAAAUUGAAGAAAACAAAUCUUCCCAAGAAAAGUGAUAGUCCUGUGCUCAAGCUAAUAACAAGAGAUGUGUUGAGCUCAGCUUUAACACCAAGAUUGCAUCUUUUCUUCAUGGGUUUGUAGGAAUUGGCCUUAUUGUUGAGAAUAACACAAGAAUCAGUUGGUUUGUUAAGAGGUCUUAGACCUUGAAAUGUUGGUGCAGAGAACAAAGUAGAAGCCAUAAUUAUUAAUUACAGCAGAGUUUUUUUUUUGGAGAAGGGGGAUACAGGGAAUUGAUCUUUAAUUGGAUAUAUAAGUGGAUAUUGGAAAAGUUGGAAGAUGAGGUUUAUACUCUAGGAAAGGCUUUGGGAGAAAAGAAAUAGAUUUUGUUAGGAUAAGAAUGAGGUAAAGAAAGAUUUUGGAUGGUGAGGUGGCUUUUCUUCAUUGGUUCUUCUUGGAUCACAGAUUCUGGCCCCAAACAUUUUCGAAGAAUUUGAGUCUGAAAAGUUGUCCCUGUUUAUUUUAGACUUCUAAAUAUUAACAUUUGGGGCUAGUUUGGUAUAAGGAAUAAGGGAUAAUUAAUUUUAGAAUUAAAUUUAAGAUAAAUUUAUUCCAUAUUUAGUUGAAAUAAAAUCGUGAUAUAACUAAUUUCGGAAUUAAUUAUUCCAAAACUAUAGUAUUUUUUUAUUCCUACGGAGGAUGGGAUAACUAAUCCCAAGAUAAUUAAUCAUGAGAUAACUUGUUUCUUAACCAAACGAUCCCUUAACCUAAAAUGUUUUGUAUACUUUUCAUCUUCGUGUGACUCAAUUUUCUAUAUCAUUUUUAAACUUAACUUUAAAAAUUAUUAUUUCUCAAAUCAAACAUUUGUUAUGUCCAAACGCUUUCUUUGGAGAAUCAAUUGAAGAAAAUAAAACUUGUAAGGAAGUAAAAACAGAUUCUUCUUUCCAUAAAUACUGAUGUACAAACAUAAAAGCAUUAAACCAAAGGUACUACAAUUCAUUUAUUUUAAAAUAAUUUGUCAAUAUUACGUAAACUGAUCUCGUAGACGUGAAAGCCAACAAUAAUUUGGAAAUAACGAGUUAUAUUCUUCUUCUUUUUCAACGAGGAGUCAUAUUCUAUAGUUCAACAAUAUUAUCUUACUUUCAUAGUAUGAGCCAACAAAAAAGUCCUAACACAUGAUUUGAAAUGAAUUACUUGUAAUAAAAAUAUGUCCAAACGAACAGUCUCGAAACCAGAUUCUUCCUUCUCUCCCCACCCAACAUUCAAGGGCGAAACCAGGGGUGCAACUUCGAAAAAUUACACUGUAUAUACAAGGUCAAUUUUUUAAUUUAUGUAUAUGUACUAGUAGAUAUUGAGUCUAUCUUGUUUCUUCACUAUUUAGUUCUUUCUAUUUUAAAUCUCCUUAUUAAAAAUUCUAGUAUCCAGUGUUAGAAGCAAAAUAUCAAUUGCAGGAUAGAGUGAUGAAUUUGAGGCCUCCUAUUUUCAAUUCAACUUUGAAAACCCUUUUGGAUCAACUUCCAACAACAAAAGAUUUAGCAACUUGACUAGAUUGUAUCUUUGAGUUUAGACUUUUCAAUAUAGAUCCGAGCAAACUUAGAAGUACUUACAAAAAAAAAAAAAGGCAGCCCGAUGCAGUAAACUCUCACUAUGCACGGGGUCUGGAGAAGGGCCGAAUCAUAAGGGUCUAUAUUGUAUGCAGCCUUACCCUGCAUUUCUGCAAGAGGUUGUUUCUACGGCUCGAACUCGUGACCUCCUGGUCACAUGGUAGCAACUUAACCAGUUACGCCAAGGCUCCCCUUCUUAGAAGUACUUACACUAUGUCAAAAAUUUUAUUUAUCAAAAAAUAAACAGCUUAUGACCUAUAUAUAUAUGCUGUGGAGAGUUUAUCACCUUCAAAUAAUAGAGCAUUUAAGAAGCUCUACAGAAUGUAUCAAAAACCAUGGCCUUUUAUCUUGAUGGGAUAUUUCUUCUCCUGUUGCUUUUCACACUGAAUUCUCCCUAAAAACCAUAUACUACUACUGAAUAUCACAAUAAUAUGACAGAUAGGCAAACCUGAUGACUUAAGCUUCAUUUCUUCCUAAACAAAUGCAACUAACCUGAAACGUCUGUAUCUGCAGAACAAUGCAAUUGGAGGGAGAUUUCAUGAGUUUUUCAGAAACCUCUCGGAUAAUCUAGCCUUUGUCGACUUGUCAAGCAAUCGAUUUUCUGGACAUAUCCCGAUAGAGAUUGGGAAAUUUGUUAACCUGGAAGAACUUAGGCUGAGCAGCAACCAACUCACAGGUAUCAUUCCACCGACUAUUGGAAAGCUUUAUAAGCUACAAUAUUUAAUCUUGUCAUGGAAUUACUUCAGUCAUUCAAACAAGCUUAACUUUAAGCUUGUCAUAAUCUCUGUGAUAUUGGGGAUUUUGGGGCUAGUUGUUAUGGUUGGUUUUCCCUUCUCCUCUAUCGGUUCCAAAGGACCAAACAGACAUUUCCUUCUUUACAUAAAUAUCUAAACCAACUCCUAUCUAUGUCCUACCAAAGUAUUCUCAAAGUUACCAAUGGGUUUUCCACGAACAACUUGAUUGGUGUUGGGAGUCAUGGAUGUUUAUAAGGGAAUUGUUGAAACGGAUGAAGGUAAAAAUGUUGCUAUAAAAGUGUUGAAUCAUUCACAGCAUCAAAAGUUUCAGAGCAGAAUGUGAGGCCCUGAAAUGUUAGACAUCGUAAUUUAGUCAAGCUAGUCACUGCAUGUUCUGGUGUUGAUUAUCGUGGAAAUGACUUCAAGGCUCUGGUUUAUGAGCUUAUGGCCAAUGGAAGUUUGGAGGACUGGCUGCAUCCAGAUUAUUCAAGAGCAGAUGGUCAGUCAAUUAUAAGGUUGGGGUUUCUGCAACGGCUCAAUAUUGCUAUUGAUGUUGCUGGUGCAAUCCAUUAUCUUCAUAAUGAUUGUCAGAUACCAAUAGUUCAUUGUGAUCUCAAACCGAGCAACGUUCUCCUCGACGAUGAAUUGGUUGCCCAUGUUGGUGAUUUUUGAUUGGCACGUUUCCUACUACUGACUAAUAAAACAACACCUGAAAUUCAGACAAGCUCUACAACUGUUAAAGGAUCUAUCGGCUACACAGCUCCAGGUAAUUUCAUAAUACAUGAUCAUGUUCCAUAAUAAUUCUAAUGAUAGUCUAAUGAUUUGUGAUAUAUAUUUCCAUUGUAGAGUAUGGGAUGGGAAGCAAGCCAUCAAAUAAUGUUAUCAAAGGCGCGCUUAAGCCCUGAAGCGAGGCUCAAAACAUGUUGAGCGGGCACUUUAGUGUUGUCAUCAAGGCUCUAAGACAUACUUUUCCUUGAAAAUGAGCAUAAUCCUAAAAAGGUGACACUAAACAAUUGUUGUUUCACUUUAUCGUAAAUUUUCUUCAAUUUCUGUCCAUAUAUUUGGUAUCCGUGCUUAUAGAAAUUACUCUUGGAUUACUCAUACAAAUUUGUAAUUUUUCUCCAUUUGCAUCUUUCUUAUUGAAGCCCACGCUUUAUUUUCGCUUUACGCUUAAAGCCCCAACAGAUCUUAGGGUUUUUUUGCAUUUUUCUCCUUUGAUAACAAAGCCAUCAAAGCAUGGCGAUGUGUAUAGUUUUGGUAUUCUCUUACUAGAAAUGUUCACGGAAAAAGGGCCUACAGAUAGCAUGUUCGGCGGUGAAUUAAACCUUCAUGAUUUAGUCAAGAAUGCCAUACCUGAUGGUGAGGGAGCACUUGAAAUAGUAGAACCCGUUCUUAGUUUUGGAAAAGGAAAUGAUCAUAAGCAAAGAUCAGAGCUCUCAUUCCAGGCUUCAUGAGAAGGCACAAAACUGUGAGGGGUUUAGUCUCCUUAUUUGGAGUUGGAGUUGUUGUUCAAUGUAUGAUACAAGUGAAAGAAAAAAUAUAAAGGAGGUUGUCAAAGAGUUGUGCUCUAUUAGAGAUUCUCUUCUUCGUUAUUUUAUCGUUUAUGUUAUAUAGGUUCCCAAUAAAGCAUUCUUAUAAAUAAUAUGAAUAGAGAUCUUUUUGCUUAUGUAAAUCAUAUCUGUUUUCAUCAACAAAAGCUAUGGAGUUCACGUGAACCCUUAUAAUACAUGCUAGCUCCGCCUCUAUUAAUGCUGCAUUUGCCAUGCCUGUUAUAUAGCAAAUGCAGCAAUAGGAGUUGUUGUAUGGAAGUAAUAUGAAGAUAAAAAUUAAAAUAGUUGUAAGGAAAAUGACUUCCGGCUAUUAGCGAUCAGACAAGUCAUUUUCCUCCUUUUGAUGGAAAAUACCAUAAAAAUGGCGUCCGUCAUUACCAAAUACCAUAAAAUGAUUUACUCAUGGAAACAUUUUCCAGGAAGUCAUUUUUCCUCGUACGAAACGCGCCCCCAUCAAAUUCUAUUAACCAAUAACCGGUACAAAACUAAUAACAUGAGAGAAAGGAGUUUACCGAUGGAAAAUUGAACUCCUAUACCAUUUGCAGGUACAAACAGAAGGUGUUGACCACAAAUUUCAAAUGUCUUAUAGCCACACUAAUACUAUAACAUGUUUAAGACUACAAGUUUCAAAAGUUUUCUUCUUUUUUUUCCCUUAAACUCCGUGUCGACUCAAACCUGAAACCAUAUCACAUAAAUUGUAACCGAGGGAGUAUUCGUUUUCUGUUGAAAUAUAUGGACAACUGUAUAAUAAAUACUACUAUAGUUUGGGACUAUACUUCUAAACUAAUCGUAAACCUCAAAUUUGAACUAAAAUAACAUAAAUAUAUUGAAACCAUGGAUGAACAAAGAAAUGAAAAAUGUAGUACUAAUAAUUCUUUGCCAAUAUACAAGCUUAAGCUACUGCAAAACAAAUAAGGCCAUGUCAAUUGAAGAGUACAAAUCAACAAGAAGACUAUUUUCUCUUUCAACCGAAGAACUUAAGAUCAUAUCCAUUUCUAGAAGUGGCAAGAACAUAAUAAGCAACAAUAUGGCCAAUAGAGCCCCAAGCAAGAACAUCAACUCUGUUCUUAGAGAACUGAUGUUUAAUUGGAUAUAUUAGGGAUAUUGGAAUUCCAAUGUAUAAAAGAUGAUACUUAAAAUUUAAUAGCCUUUGCAAAUUAUCGUCCUAAACUCUAAGAACGUUUUCAGAAAAUCAAAACAGCUAGCAAUUUUCCUAAAACCAAUUAUUCAAUUCAUUUAUCUUUUGAUAGGUUUUUGCUAAGUUAAACACUAACAAAAUGACAAAUGUCUUCAGUAGCUUCGGUUUUUUUAAAAACUUACAGUCAGUUUUGUGACACUUUAUGUUCUCAAUACACCUAAAUAUGCAUUUUCUUUUUUUCUUUAAAAACAACCAGAUGAAGAGGAUAAGUACAAAAAUUCAUAAAUCACAUAUAUACUUAGGUUUCAGAAGAAUCAAUGCAUUCUCCCAACAACUAUGCUCUACUAAAAUUAUCGACACAACUAAUUACAAACUCAAAAUCAUAAAAUCUGAACAAUAAUGCGAACUCGACACUACUAUUUGCACCAUAAAAACAGUAAAUACUAUACAAAAAAAAAACGGCGCACAAUUCAGAAUUUGAGAGGAACAAAAGGAGCAAACUUUCCAUGAAAUUGAGCAAAAGCUAUACAAGCAAACAUCGAGUCCGGGAAUCCUAAAAUAUUCAAUGCCUCAAUAUAUUAUAUAUAUCUUCCUUAUAAUUCGAAUAUCAACAGAUUAUUUAAAUAGAUAUCUAAAAUCAAACAAAAAAAUCGGAGUGAAGGGCGAAUAGGUAGAUACCUUUGAAAUUGAAGGUCCGUUCGUCGGAAGGGGGCGGAGAUGGUUUCUCAUAGCCGACGGAGGCGGAAAUGAAGAUUAUUAACACUUUAUUCUAAAAGCUUAUAGUACCUCGUAUAAAUUUUAUGAGAUGUAUGAGUCAGCAGAAAAUGACAAAAACGGUCCCUUAUGUUUGGGUAUAGGUUCAAAG
Molecule: long non-coding RNA, 6572 nt
Filed under: Nicotiana tabacum (common tobacco)
Lineage: Eukaryota; Viridiplantae; Streptophyta; Magnoliopsida; Solanales; Solanaceae
Description: long non-coding RNA (NTAB_LNC019247)
Source: RNAcentral